Molecule: small nucleolar RNA, 128 nt
Organism: Mastomys coucha (southern multimammate mouse)
Lineage: Eukaryota; Metazoa; Chordata; Mammalia; Rodentia; Muridae
Product: small nucleolar RNA SNORA17
Exons: 1
Source: RefSeq, a predicted model, not a curated record
CCUGCCCCUAGAAGUGUUGCAGGAGUGGUUGGGAGUAGUUGCUGUGACACAUGUAGGUGGCAGAGAGGAGAAACUGUAUUUCUACACUCAGUGUUCUGAAACAUCUGAAUGAUUAAUAGCCAAACAUU